GUCGAAGGUGGGGCUGAUGACUGGGGUGAAGUCGUAACAAGGUAGCCGUACCGGAAGGUGCGGCUGGAUCACCUCCUAACAGGGAGACAACACAAUGAUUUUGAUGCCUGAGUGCUUUUAUUCUUAGGCCGAAAUCCUGUCACCUUAGGUCGAUCGGUACCUCAGCUUUGAAGUCAAGAAUUUGCAGCGAUGCAAGUUGCUUGAUGGAAAUUCUUAGUUCCUAAACUUUGUCUAGGUCACACCCCAAAAGGGAUGAGACUCCUGGGCCAUUAGCUCAGGUGGUUAGAGCGCACCCCUGAUAAGGGUGAGGUCCCUGGUUCAAGUCCAGGAUGGCCCAUUCGGUGUUGGGGGUUUAGCUCAGUUGGUAGAGCGCCUGCUUUGCAAGCAGGAUGUCAGGAGUUCGAGUCUCCUAACCUCCACUGACCGAACUUUGUCCCCAACUUCAUUUGACGGAGUUGAGCUCGAUUGGAGUGUGAUUUAGAUGUGUCCGCUGGAAGACCCCAGCUUCCUGUCAUUCUAAGAAUUGAUUGUGUCAGUUUUUAGUUGAUAAGAUGCUGGGCUCGAACUGAGCAAUCAGUUUGGAGUUCUAGCAGAACCUUGACAACUGCAUAGGUGAGUCUGGAAAGAAUAAAGCAUCUCAUGGAUGCAUCAUUCUUUUAUGGAUGAUGUUUGAUUCUUGAGCAAGAGCCGAGACUCCACCACGUUCUUCUAAUUGUGUCGAGCAAUUGGGAGUUUGAUCUUUAAUUCAGCAAUGAAUUAUGGAGAAUCCGUUUCAACGACGGCAAGCGUGAUGGAGAUUAAUUGGUCAAGCUACAAAGGGCUCAC
This 825-nucleotide unclassified non-coding RNA is filed under the name uncultured Synechococcus sp. RNAcentral describes it as "partial may contain 16S ribosomal RNA, 16S-23S ribosomal RNA intergenic spacer, and 23S ribosomal RNA". The stretch from base 347 to 419 matches the Rfam family "tRNA". The record is from RNAcentral. Lineage: Bacteria; Bacillati; Cyanobacteriota; Cyanophyceae; Synechococcales; Synechococcaceae.